This 497-nucleotide ribosomal RNA is filed under the name uncultured bacterium. RNAcentral describes it as "partial 16S ribosomal RNA". It matches the Rfam family "Bacterial small subunit ribosomal RNA", at positions 28 to 507 of the family's 1533-position model. The record is from RNAcentral.
GAUGAACGCUGGCGGCGUGCCUAAUACAUGCAAGUCGAGCGAACAGACGAGGAGCUUUCUCCUCUGACGUUAGCGGCGGACGGGUGAGUAACACGUGGAUAACCUACCUAUAAGACUGGGAUAACUUCGGGAAACCGGAGCUAAUACCGGAUAAUAUAUUGAACCGCAUGGUUCAAUAGUGAAAGACGGUUUUGCUGUCACUUAUAGAUGGAUCCGCGCCGCAUUAGCUAGUUGGUAAGGUAACGGCUUACCAAGGCAACGAUGCGUAGCCGACCUGAGAGGGUGAUCGGCCACACUGGAACUGAGACACGGUCCAGACUCCUACGGGAGGCAGCAGUAGGGAAUCUUCCGCAAUGGGCGAAAGCCUGACGGAGCAACGCCGCGUGAGUGAUGAAGGUCUUCGGAUCGUAAAACUCUGUUAUUAGGGAAGAACAAAUGUGUAAGUACCUAUGCACGUCUUGACGGUACCUAAUCAGAAAGCCACGGCUAACUACGUG